UGCCACAACUUACGGUACCAUAAAAGCCUGCCAUCGUGUCAAGUACAAAGAGCUGGGAGUGAUUCCUCCGUAGUUCCAUUGUGUGGUCGUGUGAAGUUUCUUCCACCCAUUGGCCGAGCACUGUGACCCAAAGGCAGUGCAGACCCAAGCCCCAGCUGUCAGGCUGCUGCAGGACUGAUGCCUGGCUUCAAGCACAUCUGUGUCCCUGCUGGCAUCGUGCUAACCAAAUUAUUGUGCUAAAAUUUUCAGAGAAUAAAACGCGGCCUCAGUAGCAGAGGUUCAGCGCUGUGCCUGUACUGCAAGAACAGCACAGGGGUAGAGAGUGCGCUCGUGCCGCUCAUCGCACAGUCAGAAGAAAGCCCACAAGCUACCAGCAUUUCCUCAGCAGCUUCCACGACAGGAGGGAAGCCAAGGCAGGAGGAGUGGGGAGGCUGUUCUUCCUCCAGCCCAACCCUGACGUGUGCUGCGCUUUUGGUUCUGCACACAGCUGCAGUGUGGCACAAAGCUUUGCCGGUGUCUCAGAUGUGGAAUGGGAUGGAGGGGACCUUGAUGACACCCAAGUGUCAGCCCCAGCAUCAAGCCACGGCAGCACCAACCGCCCCGCCUUGGCCUCGUCCCACCCGAGCCCACCGGCAGCACAGCUUUGGUCCCUUGCUCAGCACAGCCCCAGCUCUGCAGAUCUCCUCCUGUAAGCCCCAGCAGCACACCCUCCUGGCUUCCACUCCGCUCCCAGCGCUGCUGCUCUCGGGGCCUUUUAUCUGCUGCUGCCAAUCGUGCUCCUGCAGGUACCCAUGUAAACGCUGUUAGAGGUCUUUCUGCAGGCUUAUCGCUUUGACCAUCUCUCCACACCCCCCACCGAGCAUCUCUCUGCUGAAAUUCUGUUUAUCAAGUCAAACAAACUGCCUAUCUUUAUUUCAAAGGCUUCCCCAGACAGCUCUGCCUUGUCUUUUAUCACCCAUUUAGCAGUAGGAAAUGGGCUCCUGCUGCCGUGGCACCCACCUCUCCGUCGCGUGGCUCCCACACAGCCGCACUGCUGGCUGUCCCACGCUGCCCAUCUGCACGGGGACUUUUGCAGUUUCUCAGCUCACAGCCACAUUGCCACCAAGCAGACGUGAGCACAUCACGCCCUGGAUGUGUGCUCUUACAGCACAGCGUUGAAGGCAGUGACACCCACGAAUUACAGCAAACAUGUUCCGCAGGCUCAGCUGUGUCCCAGUGCAGCACAACUCAACCCUCGUGCUGGUGGGGGCAGAAGGACCAGGCUGCCCUAUGAGAUUGUCUUUGCACCACCACAUUCCUGGCCCUGCUGUCCUUGCCUUUUGGUAAUGGCAGCAUCGCUUCAUGCAGCCUUUCUUAAGCAAUGAGGAGAAGUCCUGGGGCUAAUUAAGCAGACGUAGAACAUAGUCACUUUACUCAAAACCAAUCAACUCUGAAAAGCCACAGACUAGCAUUUAAUAGAGUGUUGUAGUGGAAAUGUACCGAUUUUAACACUACUUAAGCACAACAGAUUGUCCUUCAGCUUAGAAAAAUCACGAAAGUCUUUGACCUGCUUUUAUAAUGCCUAAAUAAGUGUUGGUGCUUUCUGUCAGUCACGAAGGCUGCAGAUUAUGUGGCACACAUCAAAGUCAGAGACGGGUGACGCACACGUGUGCACCGCAGCCCCACAGCAGGGGACAGACACCUCGGUACCAGCAGGAUGUGGCUCAUCCAUGAACCUCAGGUGUAAAUCCUCCAACAUACGGCACAGGAGCUGACCAGCUCUCCUCAGCCAGCUGGGUGCGCUGGUGUGGUCAGCAGUGCUCCCAGCGUGGUGCUCGCCAUCGCUGCAUUGCAAAGGGCUGCAAGGAGCUUGAAUAUUCAAUCUCAACAUUUUCUUUGUUAAGUAAAAAACCUUUGAGAUGUGCUGCAGCCAUUUGCUUGGAUUUAGAGCUGAACACUCACCCCAGUGCACGCAUGGGGAUUCUCCCUGGCCUGCUUACAAAGCCCAGCUGGCAACUGGGGAGCAAUACUGAGAUAUCAGCAAAACCCAAGGAAAGUUCAGAGAUGGUGGUGCAGAUGCAGGGCUUUUUCUUGCUAUAAACAAUUCAUCUCUUGGAAAUACAUUGCCCUCAAAGCUUGCAUGGCCCUUUGCAGAGCAGAGCACAGCCCAAGGACAGCUGCCAGGGCUGCUCAGUUUCCCUGUUAGUGCCCCAACAUGAAAACCCUGCACCUCUCAAGCAAAGCAACUCCAGCGCAUCCAGCCCAGACAGACCAACCCUCGCAGGGCUUCCUUCCACACUGCCUCUGCAGCUCCUUAGCAAGGCUGUGACCAAAGGAAAGCACAGCCCACUCGGUCUGUCCUCCCUGCUGGUAACUUGCAAGGAUAAUACCAGGUAAACAAGGCAAAUCCUUGCUAUGAACUCCACUCCUGAUGGCAAAACUCAUUUUAUUUUUAAGCCCCACGUGGGUAUUUUGCCUUCACGGUCAUUCUUACCAAUGGAAAAGUUAGUAUCGAGGUCAGAAGCAAGCAGCUUUUGUUGGAAGAGGAAGGCUUCCCUGUUGAAGAGACAAGGUGCAGACCCAGGGGGUGUCCGUCCCCUGCUCUGCCCUCCCCUGGGUUCACCAAGGAUGAAGAGCAGAAGCCUCGUUAAGACGCAGAGGAUUAGGGCUCUGGAUGUCAGAGGCAUGUGAAACAAACAGUAGUGUAAUUUGCGGAGCAACUUUGGGAAGUUAAUUAUUUCUCAGGAUUCAACUUUAAUGACUCCUGCAUACUCCCUGGAUCUCCAGCAGCCAGCUAUGUCACGUUGCAUUAAAAGAUGCAGCAGACAGCCCAGCAUCAGAUGUGGGGGGAGAAAGAAAAUAAGAAAAAAAAAUAUAAAAGAGUCCCAGAUGGUUUCCCUUUACCAAGAACAAACAUAUGCAAUAGCACAGCGCUUUGGAAAAAAAUUGCUCACGAACCUUCUGGCUUGAAGCUACCAGUAAAUCUUCCUGUUUGCAAUGAUGCCCAGGUAUAUAUGGCAGAAAUCUCAGUGCUCUAUUAAAGGCCUUAGAGAAAAGUCUCCCUGCUUCAUAGAAAAGCUCUUAUUUACCCCUUGUGUCCUCAGAAUAACAGAUUACCACAGCUCCUGGCAAUCACACACAGCUCAGCUUUGUGUCCACACUG
Long non-coding RNA from Numida meleagris (helmeted guineafowl), 3142 nucleotides. RefSeq lists it as uncharacterized. The transcript is spliced from 3 exons. Lineage: Eukaryota; Metazoa; Chordata; Aves; Galliformes; Numididae. The record is from RefSeq and is a predicted model, not a curated record.